Molecule: non-coding RNA, 5290 nt
Organism: Delphinapterus leucas (beluga whale)
Lineage: Eukaryota; Metazoa; Chordata; Mammalia; Artiodactyla; Monodontidae
Source: RefSeq, a predicted model, not a curated record
AGUUGAGCUUCGGGGUUGCGGUGAUGGGGCGAGCUGCCCGCGCUCCCGGUACCGAGGCGGGCCUGCAGACGGCCCGCCGCCCCCCAGGACCCGGCUGGUCGCCCCCUAAGACCGCCCGCCACCCCCAGGUCCACCUGCCGGAGCAGGCGGUGUGCUCUCUGGGCCGCAGGCGAGGAGAGGGGCCAGUUAUGGUCACGCCUCUUUCUCCCCAAGUGAUAAAGCUCAUCUAUUAGAAGAAGCUUUAGGAAUGCGAGUUUCGGGAUUGUUUGACAAGCUACUUCACUGCCUGGUGUAGUUCUUUGGGCAUCAUGAAGCAAACAGCCAGGCUGUGAACAGCCUCCGGGGACCGGGGGCAGCUUCUAGAUCCCAGGGCAGCCAACAAGAAGCCAGGACCCUCAGUCAUCAGCUGUGAGGAAAUGAAUCCUGUAAACACCUUGCAUGGGCCUGGCAGCGGAUUCUCCUCACUGAGACCUCCAGGGGCCCCAGUGCUCAGAGGCAGUAACCACACUUGGCUGAUGGUUGCUCACUUGGUUCCGCGUGCCGUGUCCUGGACCUCUCACAAAGGCUAAGGAGACGGAGUAGCGGACCCCAGACGGCCCGGCCUCCUGGCGCCUGCGUGCUGAGCGUGGAGGCUCUCAGGCAUGGUGUGAGGGGCGCCUGGAGAGAUGGGAGGCCUGCAGGUGACAGAGGCCAGGACCCGCAGCCCUGAGAUGGAAAAGCAGGCUGUGUCGCCUUUAAAAGAAAGACCACACGAUUACACCUCCAACAGGCUACAGGUAGGAAGACAGGAAGGAGACCUGUUUCCACUAAAGGCCACUCCUCCUAAAUGAAAGGGGUAAGGGUUACGUAGUGGGUAGCGCCAAAGACCAAAACUUACGCUACAGCACCCAGCUCUGCUUGCUGUAAGGAUGUGAACUGCAGAUAACAGCUCAGUUUGCCAACGGGUUCCUUGGGCAAGGCGGUUCGUGGUAAGCAUAUGGGAACCCUCCCACACAGCACACCUGUUACCGCUUUCCACCUGCAGCAGCUGAAAGUACGGGCAGCCCAGGGAGCACAGGACAUGCCCUGAACAGAGUGCACGCCUCCGGGGUCCUCCCACCGGCUCCCCGCACAGACCCCGGGUACCCCCUCCUCCUGGCGGAGGUGCACGACACCACUCCCCUUUCCUUGGGUCUUUGUCAAAACUGCAGAAGGAACUUGUCCUCAGAAAGUAAAGGGAGGAACCCGUGAAAGCAGACGAAUGAACAGUGGCCCCACUUGAGGGGGGCCUGGCUCCUGGAAUUUCAUGGGUUAUUCGUGUCAACAUUCCCCACCCCUCCAGUCCCUGCUGACACUUUCUAGGGACACAGGAAACACCCUGACGCUGGGCCUUUGUCUUUGGUGCCGGUCACAUUUUGUCACCUGAGUGGCUCUCCCGCCCCUACAGACCAUAAGUCAUGGUUUUCAUCAAGGAUCCCCUGGGCAGUGCUCUUAAACGGGCUUCUCACCAAACCCUCCCAGCUCCCAGAGGUGAAAUCUGGUUGGUGGCACCUCGAGCCUCUUCCUAGUGGCGGGACUCCAGGCUCAGAACCUGAGAAUCUUGGAUUGUGAGCCAGCAUUCUGUCCCCCCGGAGGCCCGGCCCUUCCGGUGAUGGCCCCGCCCCCGUGGCCUUCUCCAUCACCCAUUCAUGACGGCCCCUGCCCACCUGCUGGAGCGUAAGCGAACUCUUCCUGGCUCCCGUCCUCAGGCUCCCGCCCACCGCCCAGGGGCAUCUCACUGAAGCCAGCCAUGUCCACCGUGCAGGGAGCAGGUAGGAGCCACCGAACAGGGCCGGAGAGGGGACCCAGGGUGGGCCUGGCCAGAGGAGGGUACGGGGCAGAGGCGGCCUCUCCUUCCUGAGGACCCCUGCCCUCUGCAGUCUUCCGGGCCGCUUGUUUUACAAAGCCAGGGCCCCAUGACGACAUGGUUUCUUCUGCUUCCCUCUGCGGCCUACAGGAAAACUGAGGUAUGUGGCAGAAUAGACUAAUGACCGAGAGAGCAGGAGACCAAGACUCUCCCAGGCCCCGCAGGGCCCCUUAAAAAUGACUGACGAUGAGGGGAGGCGGAUGGGUGACCCACAGAGGUCCCGCCCUGACCUAAGGAAGUGGCCUCUCCCCUCAGCUUGGGAGUGGUCAUUCGCUUGCCCCCAACCAAAGAAGAUGUCUGCUGUCACCAACUUCAGUGCUCUGGUAAAUGGUAACGAGUCCACUUGGCGGCAGAUUUCAAAGGGAAGUACUUGCUGUAAAGCUGAGUAACUUUCACUGAUGCCUGGCAGAGGGUAGAAAAUUUGAGCGGUCCAUCAUUUCCCCUGAAUGAUACUCUGUAAUCACAAAACACCGAGUGAGUCCCAAAGAGCGGUCAUCGUCUUAACGAGUGUCUCUCCUUAACUCUUGAUUUUAUAAAACCAGGAAUGGCCUGGAAUGGUCCAGACCUAUUUCUAGCCUGAAGCGGGGGUGGGGGUGGGGUGGGGGACACACCUCACAGUCUCUGGGCCGGAGCUCAGUCUGGAGGCAGAAGGACCUAGGUUUGAACCCUCACCUGGGCAAGUGACCCUGAGUUCCAUUAGACAUUCAUUGAGCACCUACUACGUUCCAGGCACUGGGGAUGCAGAGAUAAGUUACAAGGGGUUCAGUGGACCCAGCUCAGUGGGGAGGUGGCCUCUUUCCUCCAAGUUGGGGGUGAUACCUGAGUAUCACGGCCUUGAUAACGAAGUAUGAGUCCCUACAGCGUCCAACACAUAGCAGGAGCGGGAUACACAUUGGUUUCUCUCUCGAAGUUCCAUUUAGAAUUGGCGAUUCUGUCAUUCUGGAAGGUGAUGGGGUAAAACUGCCCCCCACAGAAGAGACGUUGUUGUAUUUCUGAAAGGAUGGUGGAUAUCUUCGUGUAAGAAAGCCUGGCUCCCAGAGGUGAAGUGACUUGUCCAAGUCACACAGGGAGUUUGUAGAACCGUCAGGAUGGGGACCACAUGCCGCCUCAGCAUCCAAAUGUGGCUGAAGUUUUUUUGGACUCCCCCUGCCCUCAGUCAAGAAGUCCUGGAGAAGCACCCUGUUCUGUUACUCUGAAUGUGGCAGAUGAAAAAGGCGUUCAGUUCAUCUUGCCCGUGGUUGCCAUAAAUGUGUGGACUUUUGUGUUUUAGCUCAUCGUUAGUCCAGAUACAUCACUGACAUCUAUUGAUACUGCAGUGUUUUCAGAGGUUUUGAGGACAGCUGCUUGGUAACUUAUUUAGCUAGAAACGUUCUAUUCAGAACUUUCUCUCUGUUCUUGCGAGAAUUGCUAGAAAAUGUUGACUUAAGGAGAUGCUUCUGUGUUUCAUUGCACAAGUAAGUGUGCUCUACUGGGCAGGAUUAUGCAGUGAGGACCACCUCUUAGAGACUGAAGGGCGUAGUAUGGAUUUAAAUAUAGUAAAACAUCCAGGCAGACCUCGGAGGUAUUUUGGGUUUGGUUCCAGACCACCGCAAUAAAGCGGGUCACACAAUUUUUUUCUUUUCCCAGUGCAUAGAAAAGUUAUGUUUACGGCACACUGUAGUCUGUUAAGUGUGCAACAGCAUUAGGUCUAAAAAAAAAUGUGCAUACCUUAAUUAAAAAAUAAUUUAUUGAUAAAAAAUCCUAAUCCUCUUAGCCUUCGGUGAGUCGUAGCAGUGACACCAAAGAUCACUGAGCACAGAUCACCAUCCCAGAGAUAAUAACAAUGAAAACGCUUGAAAUGUUGGGACAACUACCAAAAUGUACCACGGAGACAUGAAGUGAGCAAAUGCUGUUGGAAAAGUGGCGCCGACAGACUUCCCACGGGCCUUCAACUUGUAAAAAAUGCAGGUCUGCAAAGUGCAGUAAAGCAAGGUGCACUAAAACGAGGUCUGCCCGUGUAUUGUACUUGCGAUAGGACUGACCUUGUGAUUUGCAUGAAAUUGUCGUUUGUGUUGUGUAAAAACAUCUGUGCUUAAUUUCUAAAAUAUUUAGAAAGAUUUUCCUGGUAGAAGUGUAAGGCUUGCCAUCAAACGUAAAACUCGGUGUUCAUCUAAGGUAAACAUUUAGCAAAUAUUUGGCAAGGGCUUUCUCCAAGCCAGGCACUUGUAAUCAGUUACAGCCUUGAAUUUGGAAAUGAUAUUUGCUUCCUUUUUAAAAAUUUUACUUUAUUUUUGCCACAAUCCCAGCCACGUGAGGUGCUAGCUUCUCAGAUGCGCAAGCAGCCCAUGUGACGGGUUAUCGGCACUUCUCAAAGCCUGGCAGAAAGGGCGGAGUCCCGGUUUUGGUUUCCUUUGGCUAUACCUGAGGACAGUCCUUGGUGACAGUCAAGGUCUGGAGGACAGUGGCACCUUCCCUGGCCGGGGGCCAGCACGUCCCCUACCCGACAAGGUCCCCUGCUGAGUGCUCCCAGCGAAAACAUGUACGGAUAGCAGUUAAAAUCAUAUUCUCGUUUCUGUGGAACUGGCAAUGCUAAAAAAUUUCUUUUGUUAAUGUAUGCAUGAUAUAAAAGUGGAUUGGGAGGAGGAUUUCAGAGACCUGAAAAAUACGCACUGAGGAAGGUAUGUUUCCAAGCCUUCUUCAAGAAGAAAGUGUUUCUGUUAAAAUUAGCACACAGUGGCUGGCUUUCCUCUCAUGCAUUUGUCAUGGAGGCCACGUGCCGGGAUCGUUAGGGUCACCUGUGCUGGAUCUGGGAUCCAGAGAUCCACCUUCUGUGGCCGGGAGACGGCGGAAAAGUCACGGAACCUCUGUGUGCCUGGGUUUCCUCGUCAAGCGAUUGGGGGAUGUUGGUGACUACUUCUCAGGAUGGCCCCAAGGAUGAACUGAGAUAGGAAGUAGCUUGGAGGUGAGGUUACUCUCGGAGGCUGGACUUGUUUCCUGUUUCAUAUAGAAAACAGAAGCAAUCAGAAGCCAGCGUCCCCUCCCUCCUCCUGCCCACCUGCCCGAGUGCCCACAUGCUCCACUUUCUCCUGCUUCUGUGAGUGGCUCGUCUGGGACUCUGCCAAGGACCCCACACCCUUUUUCCUCCUCCCCCCCUCUUUCUCCCACACCCCCCUCGUCUGCAUCCAGUUGUUCCCAACAACUUACAAACUGUGCUGUUACUUCCCCUUUCCCUUAAAACACCAGCAAACUGGCAAACACACAACAGCUGGUCCUUCCGGCCUCCUCACGGCUGGCUCUCUGACCUCCUUGCAGACUCUGCCCACCUACUGGACCAGCCUCUCCGAACAGCAAAGUAAAAUCACACACCACUCACUGCCCCGCCUUGCCUGCCUCACUCCCUAUGCCCUUGACCUGCUCAUUCUGCAC